AUUUAGUCUCACAAUCACAGACAAUAAAUAUUAUCUGAAAGUCGGGUUAUUGUUGUUUAUCAGCACAAUACAAAAAGAUUCAUGUUAGACGUAUUCCAGUUAAUACUCUAGAAUAUCAUGAUUUAUGUAAAUUUACCUCAAUAAUAUGAAUGUUCAGGUUAAGAUUGUACAGUGAUAUUUCUUAUGUAAUUUUAGCUGAUUAAAGUUUAUGAUUCUGCACUACAAUAUUAUUUAAAUUUACAUCAUUAUUAUAAUAUUUAGGGUCAGACCCUACAGUAUUGAGAUUAAGAUAGAUAGAUAAAUAGAUAGAUAGAUUAGACAUCAAAUAUUCUAUAAAAUGUAAAUACACUGAACUCAUUUGGAUAUAUUUAAGUGAGACUCUACAAUAUUAUUUGACACAAAUCUAUCUAAAUCAAAAUUUUUAAUCAUUUUUACUCCAAACAUUUACUGGACUGAUUUAAAUAUUAAAAUCACUCCUUUCUAAUCCUCUGCUGUACGUUCAAACUUGAGGCCUUAAAUAGAAACACACAAGUAUCUGAUUGAAGGAACUUCUGCAGAGUCCUGGUUCCAGAACAUGAUAAUAGAAUUAUAGACAAACUUUAACAAAAGCUGCCUGAGAGUUUACAGGUUUUUAUGUUAGAUUUCUUCAGUAAUUUAAUGAGUUAUCAGCAAAAAUCAAGUGUUCAUUUGAUGACCUUCAUUUCCUAAAACAUCCAGAAUUGGAGCUCAUAUCUUUGGCAGCCGUAAAGUUUCUGCUCCUUCAAAGUUCACAACACAAUGAAUUAAUUCCUAAAACACUCUCAAUGCUGGAGAGCAUUUGUGAUGCUGAAGCAGUGACCAGUUUUUCUGUUUCUUCUCUGGAGAUGCACGAGGGACGUCUGCAGAGACUGAGAAAGAGUCUCACCACAUCCUGACAUGAGGAAAAAGACUUUAUUGAAGACUACAAUGAGAAAAACGAUCAGACAGCAGACAGCAUGCAUUCAAGAAAGGAAGACCAUCAAACAUCCACAUCAGCUGAUGGAGGUCCAAGAGUCUCACCGAACAAACAACCUACAGAGUGAAGACCUCGAAUCUGAUUGGACGGCCUCCUGUUCAGCCACAUGUGUGAACAAAUGCCUCUAAGUUGAUUUGUUUUCUAAAAUAAAUCUAGUUUGAGUCCUAAUCUAUGCC
Amphiprion ocellaris (clown anemonefish) is the source of this 1170-nucleotide long non-coding RNA. The record is from Ensembl. Lineage: Eukaryota; Metazoa; Chordata; Actinopteri; Pomacentridae.